This is a long non-coding RNA of Numida meleagris (helmeted guineafowl), 2959 nucleotides long. RefSeq lists it as uncharacterized. The record is from RefSeq and is a predicted model, not a curated record. The transcript is spliced from 4 exons. Lineage: Eukaryota; Metazoa; Chordata; Aves; Galliformes; Numididae.
UUGAUCUCCUCAUCCGCCGCCGCCGCGAUGGCGCGGGCGCAGUCGCGUAUCGCCCUGUCACGAGGCCGCCGUCGGUGGUUGGGGAGGGGGUGGGAGGCGCCGGACGCGGCCCGCGCCCGUUGGGACGGGGAGGGAGUGCGGCUGAAGCGUUUUGGAGGAUAAGUCGACGGAAGGCUGGCGGAGAGCUACUGAACGUGUCACAGAUUCACAGGGAUUGGAAGGGACUUCUGGAAUCAUCGAGUCCGACCCCUGCUAAAGCAGGUUCCCUGUAGUAGGUCGCACAGAUGUCUCCUAUACUGGAUGGAAUACCAUCUGUGGCCUAAUUCAGGACAGAAAGGAGUGCUUGUAACUUGGAGUGAGUCAAGGCCCUCCCGGUUCUUAAACCUGUUAGCAACUGCUGGAUAAGCAAUCUCAUUCAGCUAGAUCACGACAGCUACAAAUGUAGUCCCCCUUGUGAAUGCCUGCUGAGAUUGAUGCUUUAGGCCUCAUCCUAAUCUUACGGAUGGCUGGCCACAUCUCAGCUCCUUCAUCUUCCUGGUAGAUAGGUGGAUGGCAGGUGAAUACCCCUCCCAUAUGUGCCAUCUAUCAUAAUGUCACUGCAGCAGGCUCACAUUGGCUUCCCAUUGCAGUUAGCAGCACUGAUGCUGUUGGUUAGCUGGAGAGGCAGCUCAGCAUGCACAGGCACACACAGCUUGAAGAGGAGCUCUGGAGGUCAUUGGCUCACAUUUUGGGUUCCCUGGCAGGCUGCCUGACAGCAGUCUUUUGAUUUCUUUGUGCAGGAAAGUGCAGCAGCUUGGCUUUGCAGGCAGUGCUCUGCUAACGUGCCGGACACCUCCACCAUGCUGCAGAGAGGUUUCUGCACAGCUUUGGACAAAGGGAUCCAGCAUAAGCAGUGGGAGAACUUCAGAGAACUUAGAGGGCUCAGCCUGGCACACAAAGGAGGGGAGUUAGCUUACUGAUAGGAAAGAUCUGCUUGCUGCCUCCAGGGCAAGCCACUUAUCCUUGCAUCAUUCUGCAAGAGAUGCGGGUGUGCACCUGAGACCUCCUGUUGCCCCAUCAGCCAAGAAUAUCCAGCUACAGCAAGGUCGCCUCCAGUAAAGUUGAUUUUCAGCACCACUUCUUUCAGGAAGAGGAUUUGAUGUCACCAAAGGAGAAAUGUUUGUCUUCUGAAACAGGAGCACAGCGUAUCUGUUACACAUUCUGCUGCUGACAAACUCAGUCCCAUCCGUGUCAGUACAUCUGCAUCCCUGCCUGCAGCCUGAAGGCAUACAAAGCAACAAGAGAAAGUACACCAGGCUUUCAUGAUAUUGCAGGCCAUUGUUUUCAAUUAUGUGUGAUUUAAAAGCAAUGGCCAGACCUCUGUACCAGUCCUCCAUGUCAUGUAACUAAUUCCUCCUUCCAAGCAGGUGGAAAGCAGUUCUGACCCUGCAGAAAUAUUCUAGUGGCAUUCACAUGCCCAGAAAGACCUGGUGAAAGCAAUACAGAGGAGAGAGAUUGUCCAGAAGGCUCUUUUAACACAGAAAAAAAAGGAGAGAUCCUUCCGUGUAACUGGCACAUGGGGUUCUGCAACACCACUACCACAAUGUAAAUGAAUUGGCAGCUGUCCUACACAGUGGUAACAUUUGUGCAGUAACAUUCACUGAAAUACACAGUAAAUAAUAUUUUUAAAAAUGAAAAAAAAAAAAAAAAAAAAAAGAGCACAGUCCUUUGAGGGUGACUUUAGUGCUAUUUAUUUACAUACAUACCUACACUAGUAAAGUAACAAAAAAUUUUUGGUGGAAGCUGUAUUUUUUGAGGGCAGCCAAUAAGCAUCUGUUGCUCUCAUUGCAGUAAGGCAGAGGAGAUGGGACUUUUCCCAUGUGCAGCUCCCAUAGUUUGCCUGCUCUCUGUAGUCCAGCACUUACUGCAUGUUUAUCUUUUGAUAACUCUGAUCAGAAAUUGGCAAAUGACUUCAAUGCUGAAGUUAAAUAAAGUCACUCUUUUAUAUACGAUUUUUUAAAGUAGAACUCUUUGCAGUGACUGUGGUCCACUGGAGCACUUCUCUGAGGUUGUUUCACUGGGAAUCUCUUUCUAAAAGAAGACAUAGUCUUGAAAUGACAGGUAAAGGCACACAGAUGAGAGCAACAGGCGGAGUACUCAGGGAUAUCCAGACACGUUUGACGCUGGCAUCCACUAACGAGACUGUCAAGUGCCUGUCAAAAUUCAAAUGUUUUUGUUGUGAGGCUUGGCAGUACCUAUGAGCACUGCUGACAGUUUGUUAAAAAUAACCCCAGAAAUGCAUCCUUUCUAGGUCAAAACUGACUGUGAAGCUGAGUGCACUGUAAUUACAGUGCACUAAAUGAGUUACAGCUUGAGCUAAUCACACCCCACUGCACUAAAAGCUGUAAUUACACAGAGAUAGUGUGAGCUUGGCAGCAUCUCCUAUGGCAGUCCAUGGCUCUGAGUGAAGCCUGGCACUCAGGUUGCUGCCACUGCUGGCUGGGGAUCUGCUGGGCCAACACACGGCUCAACAGGUGGAAUGAGCUGAUGUGUGUGCUUAACAAAGAGUAAAACAUAGUGGUAUUUAACUAGCAAAGAUGGUAUAAAGGAAAGCCAGAUGGCAAACUUACUUGAAAACAUGCAGCUAAUGAAGGACAUUUCUCAAACCCAUCAAAGCUAUGCUGGUUUUAUGGCAACAGAAUGUUGCCAGGAGUUUGUAUAAUUUAUUGGUGUAACCACAUAGAGAACUGGGGCCUCUGUAUUUUUCAUGCAUUCCAUUUUGUCCGCUUAUGUCAAAGCAGGUAUACGGAUGAGUUACUGAAUUUAAGGUUUGACACUUAAUUUUUGAUUUCUUGUUUUUCUGAAAUGUUCAGUUUUGCAUUACCGUGUCUCUGCAAGGGUACAGAAUGCUAUUUUUGGCAGUUUAGCCUUGUGCCAUCCAAGCUUUUCAUCAUCGAUUAAUAAAUGAUUUUGGGUUAUU